UACGUAGGGGGCAAGCGUUGUCCGGAAUUAUUGGGCGUAAAGAGCGUGUAGGCGGUCCGGUAAGUCGGCUGUGAAAGUCCAGGGCUCAACCCUGGGAUGCCGGUGGAUACUGUCGGGCUAGAGUGCGGAAGAGGCGAGUGGAAUUCCUGGUGUAGCGGUGAAAUGCGCAGAUAUCAGGAGGAACACCGAUUGCGAAGGCAGCUCGCUGGGACGUAACUGACGCUGAGACGCGAAAGCGUGGGGAGCAAACAGG
Molecule: ribosomal RNA, 253 nt
Filed under: uncultured bacterium
Lineage: Bacteria
Description: partial 16S ribosomal RNA
Rfam family: Bacterial small subunit ribosomal RNA
Source: RNAcentral